GAUGAACGCUGGCGGCGUGCCUAAUACAUGCAAGUCGAGCGAACGGACGAGAAGCUUGCUUCUCUGAUGUUAGCGGCGGACGGGUGAGUAACACGUGGAUAACCUACCUAUAAGACUGGGAUAACUUCGGGAAACCGGAGCUAAUACCGGAUGAUAUUUUGAACCGCAUGGUUCAAAAGUGAAAGACGGUCUUGCUGUCACUUAUAGAUGGAUCCGCGCUGCAUUAGCUAGUUGGUAAGGUAACGGCUUACCAAGGCAACGAUGCAUAGCCGACCUGAGAGGGUGAUCGGCCACACUAGAACUGAGACACGGUACAGACUCCUACGGGAGGCAGCAGUAGGGAAUCUUCCGCAAUGGGCGAAAGCCUGACGGAGCAACGCCGCGUGAGUGAUGAAGGUCUUCGGAUCGUAAAACUCUGUUAUUAGGGAAGAACAUAUGUGUAAGUAACUGUGCACAUCUUGACGGUACCUAAUCAGAAAGCCACGGCUAACUACGUG
Molecule: ribosomal RNA, 497 nt
Filed under: uncultured bacterium
Lineage: Bacteria
Description: partial 16S ribosomal RNA
Rfam family: Bacterial small subunit ribosomal RNA
Source: RNAcentral